Molecule: ribosomal RNA, 119 nt
Organism: Pteropus vampyrus (large flying fox)
Lineage: Eukaryota; Metazoa; Chordata; Mammalia; Chiroptera; Pteropodidae
Source: Ensembl
GUCUACAACCAUGCCACCUUGAACGUGCCCGAUCUCAUCUGAUUUCUGAAGCUAAGCAGGGUUGGGCCUGGUUGGUACUUGGAUAGGAGACCACCUAGGAAUACCAAGUGCUGUAGGCA